This 491-nucleotide ribosomal RNA is filed under the name uncultured bacterium. RNAcentral's name for it is "partial 16S ribosomal RNA". It matches the Rfam family "Bacterial small subunit ribosomal RNA", at positions 28 to 507 of the family's 1533-position model. The record is from RNAcentral.
GAUGAACGCUGGCUACAGGCUUAACACAUGCAAGUCGAGGGGAAACGACGGGGAAGCUUGCUUCCCCGGGCGUCGACCGGCGCACGGGUGAGUAACGCGUAUCCAACCUGCCUCUGACUGAGGGAUAACCCGUCGAAAGUCGGCCUAAUACCUCAUGGCAUCGUCUGCGGGCAUCCAACGACGAUUAAAGAUUUCAUCGGUCAGAGAUGGGGAUGCGUCUGAUUAGCUUGUUGGCGGGGUAACGGCCCACCAAGGCGACGAUCAGUAGGGGUUCUGAGAGGAAGGGCCCCCACAUUGGAACUGAGAAACGGGCCAAACACCUACGGGAGGCAGCAGUGAGGAAUAUUGGUCAAUGGGCGAGAGCCUGAACCAGCCAAGUAGCGUGCAGGAUGACGGCCCUAUGGGUUGUAAACUGCUUUUAUGCGGGGAUAAAGUGAGGGACGUGUCCUUCAUUGCAGGUACCGCAUGAAUAAGGACCGGCUAAUUCCGUG